This 498-nucleotide ribosomal RNA is filed under the name uncultured bacterium. RNAcentral describes it as "partial 16S ribosomal RNA". It matches the Rfam family "Bacterial small subunit ribosomal RNA", at positions 29 to 523 of the family's 1533-position model. The record is from RNAcentral.
AUUGAACGCUGGCGGCAUGCCUUACACAUGCAAGUCGAACGGUAACGCGGGGCAACCUGGCGACGAGUGGCGAACGGGUGAGUAAUACAUCGGAACGUGCCCAGUAGUGGGGGAUAGCCCGGCGAAAGCCGGAUUAAUACCGCAUACGACCUACGGGUGAAAGCGGGGGACCGCAAGGCCUCACGCUAUUGGAGCGGCCGAUGUCGGAUUAGCUAGUUGGUGGGGUAAAAGCCUACCAAGGCGACGAUCCGUAGCUGGUCUGAGAGGACGACCAGCCACACUGGGACUGAGACACGGCCCAGACUCCUACGGGAGGCAGCAGUGGGGAAUUUUGGACAAUGGGCGAAAGCCUGAUCCAGCCAUGCCGCGUGCGGGAAGAAGGCCUUCGGGUUGUAAACCGCUUUUGUCAGGGAAGAAACGGUCUGGGCUAAUACUCCGGACUAAUGACGGUACCUGAAGAAUAAGCACCGGCUAACUACGUGCCAGCCGCCGCGGUAA